GUUUUAAUAGUUUAAAAUAAAACAUUGGUCUUGUAAACCAAAAAUGAAUGAUAAAUCUUAAAACU
Molecule: transfer RNA, 65 nt
Filed under: Saussurella borneensis
Lineage: Eukaryota; Metazoa; Arthropoda; Insecta; Orthoptera; Tetrigidae
Description: tRNA-Thr
Rfam family: tRNA
About the family: Transfer RNA (tRNA) molecules are approximately 80 nucleotides in length.
Source: RNAcentral